GGUCAUUUGGUCUAGUGGUAUGAUUCUCGCUUUGGGUGUGAGAGGUCCCGAGUUCAAUUCUCGGAAUGCCCC
RNAcentral lists this transfer RNA (72 nucleotides) under Triticum aestivum (bread wheat). Its description in RNAcentral is "tRNA-Pro (TGG) (tRNA-Pro-TGG-12-1, tRNA-Pro-TGG-13-1)". It matches the Rfam family "tRNA". Rfam says of the family: Transfer RNA (tRNA) molecules are approximately 80 nucleotides in length. The record is from Rfam by way of RNAcentral. RNAcentral also lists the same sequence under 1 other name. Lineage: Eukaryota; Viridiplantae; Streptophyta; Magnoliopsida; Poales; Poaceae.